UACACUCUUGCACAGUCUGACAACACACACAGACCCACAUUUCUACAGACGACAGCCACACUUUCACAGACAGCACCCGUGGGCCCAGGCUCUCACAGGGAGCUACGGUUGUGUACAAACAUGCACACAGUCUCACAAAGAACACCCAGCACUCUCUCAGGCAACAGUCGCACCCUUACAAAUAACCCUCAUGAACACACUCUCAAAGACAACCUCAUGUUCUCACACACCCUAACGGAUGCACCACUGCACAUAGAUACACCCUCUGUGCAAUACCCACACACCCACACUCUAAGGCAACAGCCACAGUCACACAGGCUCACCGCCAACAGCUACACUCUUGGACACAGACAGUGUUGUGGGUCCCUCAGAUGCACUCUCAGAGGCAAUGUCAUCACAGACAAUAGCCACACCUUCACACAGAGACAUAGCUACAUGGAUAACAGCCAUGGACACACCCUUUGAAAGACGACAGCCUCAUCUCAAACACAGACACACCCUCACAGGCAACAGGCACUGAGCCACAAGUUCUCAUAGACAACAACGGCACUCUCGGAUAUAGACAGCAGACACACACUCACAACCACUCUCAAACAUCGAUGCCCUUCAGCAACAACCUUCAGGGCCUCAGACUCACAGACAACAACCACACUUUUGGAUGCAUCCCUCACAGACAGCAUUCACAGAUGCACACUAUCCUACACCAUUCGCAGACAUGCGUUCUUCCAAACAGCCUUCAGAAACACACUCACAGACAUUACUUGCAUGCUCAGAUAUAGAUCCCCUCAUAGACAGCGUUCCAGAACAUACCAUUGCACACUUGCUUACACACACACACACGUCCCCCUCUGCUCUUGGUGCUCCCAGUCCUGGGACUGUCAGGAUGGCUGAUCAGUGAAGACUGUCCUAGUGGCUGGCCACCUCCACACCCACUCCACACACCCACAGCCCUGCCUCUGAUAGUCAUGGCUGCAAGGCCCCAGAAGCCUUGCCUGGGGACUAGACAGAGCUGUCACAGAAUGGCUGUGUCUCAGAGUUCCAGAGACAAGCCACCAUCCCCCAUACCCCAUGCACCUGACUCCUGCACCCCUGACCCAUGCAAUUCCCAACUCCUCUGUUGCCCUCUGAUCACCCCACUGCCUGACUCUCAUACCCCUAAAACCCCUGACCAUGUGGCCCCUGACUCCUAUGCCCUCCAGCCCCCAUGCCCUCCUAUGUCUGAUUUCCCACCCUUUGUGUCCUCACGGCCCUGGGAAUGAGGAAGCAUCCACCACAUGGACAAGAAGCCCUCCAAUGCCCCGAAACCUGUGCCCCAUAGCCCCCACCCCAGACCUCCAGCCCCUUAGCCCCAUGGUUCUGAAUCCCCAGUGCCCAACUUUUGCACUCCCCUGGCUUCUGUUGGCUCCUUUCCCCACGUCCCCUGACUUGAGCUGCUGAUCCCAUGUGGGCUGCCAACUGACCCUGUAACCCCGCUUCCAGUUAAUCUUGUUAUCUGACCCCAUGCUCCCUGAGCACUGGUCCCUCCCCGUUGAGCUCCAUACCUUCUGACCCCCGCCCUUGACCCACAUCACUGUCCUGUGUCACCAGACGGGGCGGGCACCAUGAACAAGUUACGGCAGAGCCUGCGGCGGAGGAAGCCAGCCUACGUGCCCGAGGCGUCGCGCCCGCACCAGUGGCAGGCAGACGAGGACGCGGUGCGGAAGGGCACGUGCAGCUUCCCGGUCAGGGUGAGUGGGCGGGACGGAGGCGGCGGGGGGGACGGGGCCUCUGUGCUGUGCGGGUGCGAGGCCUGGCUGGGACACAAGCUCAAGUCGUUUGAAGCUGGUAUUAAAAAGCGUGAGGCCGGCUGUCCUGGCUGUCACGGUGAAACCCCGUCUGUACUAGAAAUACAACAAAUUAGCCUGGCGUGGUGGCGGGCGCCUGUAGUCCCAGCUACUGGGGAGGCUGAGACAGGAGAAUCGCUUGAACCCGGGAGGCAGAGGUUGCAGUGAGCCGAGAUAGCGCCACUGCACUCCAGUCUGGGCGACAGAGCAGACUCUGUCUC
Molecule: small RNA, 2044 nt
Filed under: Pongo abelii (Sumatran orangutan)
Lineage: Eukaryota; Metazoa; Chordata; Mammalia; Primates; Hominidae
Description: retained intron
Source: RNAcentral